GCUGUAGUUGCGGCAGGUGUAGCAGCCGCAGUCCGGGUCCAGCGGGCCGGUGUCGCGGCGGCUGGCGCUGUUGCGGAUCUUGACCGUGCCGCGGUG
Molecule: transfer RNA, 96 nt
Filed under: Thiohalobacter sp. COW1
Lineage: Bacteria; Pseudomonadati; Pseudomonadota; Gammaproteobacteria; Thiohalobacterales; Thiohalobacteraceae
Description: tRNA-Gly
Source: RNAcentral